GUGCAGCCAGCACGUUGCCCUUGGCCUCCUCAUAGAGCAGCCGCAGGACCUCCUCGUCGGGGAUCUGGAGCUCCCGCCCCUUUGGGAAGAACACGUUCCUUCGGAACUGCAGGAAAGGCUCCUCCAGCAGAGGGGAGACCAGCCAGAGCGCGAAGACAUCCAGGGCGAUGUCCGGAAGCUUCAGGACCUCGCGGGCGAGGGCAGGUUCUCCACAGCCAGGGGCACCACCGUGUCAUCUGCCAGGUAUACCAGCACGUCAGCCGCUCGGGCUCCCACGGAGGACACGCUGCUUCGGUGGGACCGCUCAGUGGGGCCGGGCUGCCCGACACUGCCUUCCGUCCCGUCCAUCUCACAGGGUCGCAGAGCCCGCCACCUGAGAGGCAAGGCUCCUGCCCGGAAUCCUGCCCCUCC
This 411-nucleotide long non-coding RNA is filed under the name Homo sapiens (human). RNAcentral describes it as "non-protein coding lnc-MSN-6:1". Lineage: Eukaryota; Metazoa; Chordata; Mammalia; Primates; Hominidae. The record is from RNAcentral.